Molecule: transfer RNA, 73 nt
Filed under: Staphylococcus pseudintermedius
Lineage: Bacteria; Bacillati; Bacillota; Bacilli; Caryophanales; Staphylococcaceae
Description: tRNA-Phe
Rfam family: tRNA
About the family: Transfer RNA (tRNA) molecules are approximately 80 nucleotides in length. Their secondary structure includes four short double-helical elements and three loops (D, anti-codon, and T loops).
Source: RNAcentral
UCAACGUCGGUUGGUGAGACGGAGCAAAGGACUGAAAAUCCUUGUGUCGGCGGUUCGAUUCCGUCCUGAACCA